RNAcentral lists this ribosomal RNA (223 nucleotides) under Bacillus subtilis. RNAcentral describes it as "partial 16S rRNA. Bacterial SSU". It matches the Rfam family "Bacterial small subunit ribosomal RNA", at positions 19 to 232 of the family's 1533-position model. Lineage: Bacteria; Bacillati; Bacillota; Bacilli; Caryophanales; Bacillaceae. The record is from RNAcentral.
CUGGCUCAGGACGAACGCUGGCGGCGUGCCUAAUACAUGCAAGUCGAGCGGACAGAUGGGAGCUUGCUCCCUGAUGUUAGCGGCGGACGGGUGAGUAACACGUGGGUAACCUGCCUGUAAGACUGGGAUAACUCCGGGAAACCGGGGCUAAUACCGGAUGGUUGUUUGAACCGCAUGGUUCAAACAUAAAAGGUGGCUUCGGCUACCACUUACAGAUGGACCC